RNAcentral lists this non-coding RNA (2800 nucleotides) under Pan troglodytes (chimpanzee). The record is from RNAcentral. Lineage: Eukaryota; Metazoa; Chordata; Mammalia; Primates; Hominidae.
UCAUAAGAUCACCCAACUAUGGAUUCCAUUUGGAACUGCGUGUACAUGCAUGACUGAGUUAGCUGUGGACAUGAUCACAUGCCUUCCAUACAUCUCUGAUUAUAGAAGACAUUUUUUGCCCUCCAUUUCCUAUAUUUACUCUUCCAGCAGACAGGGACAUGGAAAAAUCCGUGACCUAGCACUGACCCAGCAGAUAAGACUAACCACCAUAAGUACAGUUUUUGAAAGAAAAUGAUGUAGUUAAGGCUAAAGCUUUAACAUGGAGUCAAGCGUUUGUAAGAACAUUGCACUCACACCUGCUAAAGGUCAAGCCACAGGAUGUUGCUGUAGACCUGGAUAACAACGGACUGAAGUCAAGGAGUUCAUGAUGAUCACCAUUCUACAGAUGAGGAAACUGAGGCUGGGAGAAAUGAAGGCACUGUCUCCUUGUCCUCCAUGUGUCCCAGUGGGCACCUUCUGUGUCCCACCAAGCAUUCAUGUCCAUUAACAGAGCAAGUGCCCUGAAUUCUUGAGCCCCAACACUGACUGCACACCCUAUUGUCCCUUCGAGAUUCUUGACUUCAUGCAAUUCAAGGGAGAAGCCUCCCUCCUGGGUGCCCAGGCCCAGAUACACUGUGGCCAGAAACAAAACACUGUGGGCUCCUGUCAGCCUGAGGGGAGCAUGGAAACUUGCUCCUAUGGGCCCCACGCACCCCGUAGGAAAUACCUCAUCUCCUCAUCCUUAGUCCUCAGCACCAAGAAGAGGUGGGCACGUGCUCCGCUGAGCUGCAGGAGGCCCAACUCUGCUCCAUAGAUGCUGCUGAGUGAAGGAGAAACAGCACAACAUUGGGGGAGAGUCCUAAAUGCUUCAUGUGUGCUGAGACCUGUCUUUUAGGAACAGGCUUGACAUAUAGUGAACCAUCUGCAGAACCUUUCUAAUGAGAGGGUAAAGCGAGCCCCUCCUACCCCUACAGGACUUUUUUUCAUUUUUUUGGUUUUGUUUUAUUUUGUUUUUGAUGGAGUUUCGCUCUUGUUGCCCAGGCUGGAGUGCAAUGGUGCAAUCUCGGCUCACCGCAACCUCCGCCUUCCAGUUUCAAACGAUUCUCCUGCCUCAGCCUCCCGAGUAGCUGGGAUUACAGGCAUGCGCCACCAUGCGUGGCUGCUUUUUUAUUUUUAGUAAAGGUGGGGUUUCUCCAUGUUGGUUAGGCUGGUAUUGAACUCCUGACCUCAGGUGAUCCACCCACCUCGGCCUCCCAAAGUGCUGGGAUUACAGGCAUGAGCCACUGCACCCAGCCUCAGUUUCGUUUUUAAUGCUUUUCGCUAUAGAACUGAACAAUGCCACAGUCCGGAAAGAGAAGGUUGGAGCAUUUCUCUACCCUUGGAAAACCACAUCUGAGUGAGUGUUGCAGAGACAGGGGCUGUAAGUCAGGCUGGUGGGGAGGAAAUCUUGGCUCCCUGACCUGCUCACCACUCAGAUCUCCUCUCUGAGCCUCAGUGUCCUCAUCUUUAAAGAGGCAACAAAUGGCUCCGCCCUCAUAGCACUGGUUAUAAGCAGACUUUGGCACAACUGCCACUCCAUGGCCCCCUUCCCUGCCUCCCUCCUUUCUCAUCCAGGUCAUCAUUUAGGCUGAGAGCAUGGCAAAGAGGGGUGAGCACCCUACUAGGAGUUAGCAGAUCUGAGUCACACCUGAGCUACUUUCUGGCUGUGAUUGCCUGGGCUGGGGAGGCACCAUCUGGAAACUUCGGUGUCUUUGCCUAUAUUAUCUGAUCAGGGUAAAUCCACUUCCACAUCUAUGUUCAAGGGUGGUGGGGAGCCCUGUUGCUAUGUCAUGUAGGAGGGAAAUUAGAUAAUAUUCUCAUAUAUGAAAAUACACACACCCUCUAACUUAGCAAUGUCACUUCCAGUGGGUGUCUCCCACCUGAGGAGGGUGAUACAUGUACAAGGCCAUCCACUGCAGGAUUGUUAGUAGCUCAAGUUUGGGAACAACUUACAUACCCAUCAACAGAAUGCUGUGAAAUAAAUUUUGAUAUUUCCAUAAAUUGGAGUAUUCUGCAGCUGCUAAAGAGUGGAGCAGUUCUAUGUCCUGACGUGGAAUCUCGAUAUGGAAUGUUAGGGCUUAUGUUUGGAAGAAGUUUUCCAAUCACCAAUGGGCUUUAGUGUCUGAAUGUGAGGUGCAUUCUGAACCUUUGGGAAAUGGAUGAAAAAAGAAAUCCUGGCUCCCUGAUCCAUGGUUCUGUUUGAGGAGCUUUUAUUUAGUACCUGUGAUGCACCAGGUUCUUCUAUGAAGACAGUGUCUAACAAACACUGGGGAAGGAAGGAGCCUGCCUCUAUUCGGACCUUGACUCUGGCUUUGAUUCCAUCAAUAACUGGCCAUGUGACUGUGGACAAGGCCCCUACAAUCUCUUGGCUUAAGUCCCCUGUCUGUAAAGGGGAGUUGGGCUGAAAGUCUGAAGAUCUUUCCCGUGCUGAAAUUCCAGGAUUCUGGAGGUAGGAUGAGGAUUCUGGGCCUCUGGCUGGAAACCCCAAAUAAGUUUUAUUGCUGCUUUAAAUUGGUCACCCCUGAGCCACCGAUAUGUAUGACCUCUUCCCUGAGGUGAAGGAUAUUCUGAGAUGACCCAGCUCUGCUCAGAGCCCACAGUGACUGUAUGACUCAGUCCUUAAAUCACACAAGGCUUCAAAUAGACCCACAGCAAAUGCGAGACUUAUUGGCAUCUCCUCCCACCAGGCCAUCAGACUAAACAGUGAAUCUGUGCCUCCCAGGAAUCUUCCCUGUGUGAUGUUUCUGAAGAUUAAAUAAAGAAAAACAGGAUUUACACUUUC